RNAcentral lists this long non-coding RNA (320 nucleotides) under Lotus japonicus. RNAcentral's name for it is "long non-coding RNA (LJAP_LNC001769)". Lineage: Eukaryota; Viridiplantae; Streptophyta; Magnoliopsida; Fabales; Fabaceae. The record is from RNAcentral.
AGAAUUCCCCAAAAGAUAAAAUGGAGCGAAGGCUCAGCCCAAAUUUUAUCUGCCGCAUCCAACGCUUUCAUAUCUGUUAACUGCUACAACAGGCUGCUUCCUUUCACUUCAAUGCUGUAACUGCUUCUGCUGCCAUAACAACGGGCUCCUUCCUUCCACUUAAAUGCUUUACCUGCUUCUGCUGCCAUAACAACAAAACACACAAAUGGCGUGCUCCUUUAAGCACCACCUCUUGCUCCUCCACUCACAUUCCCUCUCGAGAAUAGUCCCCUUCCGCCGCUUCCACCGAAUCGCCACCGCCGGCAGCCACUCUCGCAGCC